UAGGUCUCUAGACGUUACAGAGAACCCCGUACAACCCAAACUGUUAACCUUCAAUACUGCUUUGUACUUACGAUCUUGUAUCCACUGACUGUCUUCUUAGAUUAACCCAAUAAAUUUCAUUCACUCCGCAUACUCAAUCCUAUAGACACCCUUUUAAUCCUUCAAUCACAGACGUAACUCGAUUUCACAAAACAGUCAAGAGUAUUCAAACCUACUUCAUUUGAAAAUCCCGAUUCACCAUUACAACA
This 248-nucleotide long non-coding RNA is filed under the name Physcomitrium patens. RNAcentral's name for it is "long non-coding RNA (PPAT_LNC001843)". The record is from RNAcentral. Lineage: Eukaryota; Viridiplantae; Streptophyta; Bryopsida; Funariales; Funariaceae.